GCCUAGAUAGCUCAGAUGGGAGAGCGUUAGACUGAAGAUCUAAAGGUCCCCGGUUCGAUCCCGGGUCUGGGCA
Molecule: transfer RNA, 73 nt
Filed under: Procambarus clarkii (red swamp crayfish)
Lineage: Eukaryota; Metazoa; Arthropoda; Malacostraca; Decapoda; Cambaridae
Description: transfer RNA phenylalanine (anticodon GAA)
Rfam family: tRNA
About the family: Transfer RNA (tRNA) molecules are approximately 80 nucleotides in length. Their secondary structure includes four short double-helical elements and three loops (D, anti-codon, and T loops).
Source: RNAcentral